GCCCGGAUGGCGAAAUUGGUAGACGCAAGAGACUUAAAAUCUCUCGACCGAAAGGUUGUGCGGGUUCGAUUCCCGCUCCGGGCACCA
RNAcentral lists this transfer RNA (87 nucleotides) under Dyella caseinilytica. RNAcentral's name for it is "tRNA-Leu". It matches the Rfam family "tRNA". From Rfam's summary of the family: Transfer RNA (tRNA) molecules are approximately 80 nucleotides in length. Their secondary structure includes four short double-helical elements and three loops (D, anti-codon, and T loops). Further hydrogen bonds mediate the characteristic L-shaped molecular structure. tRNAs have two regions of fundamental functional importance: the anti-codon, which is responsible for specific mRNA codon recognition, and the 3' end, to which the tRNAs corresponding amino acid is attached (by aminoacyl-tRNA synthetases). tRNAs cope with the degeneracy of the genetic code in two manners: having more than one tRNA (with a specific anti-codon) for a particular amino acid; and 'wobble' base-pairing, i.e. permitting non-standard base-pairing at the 3rd anti-codon position. Lineage: Bacteria; Pseudomonadati; Pseudomonadota; Gammaproteobacteria; Lysobacterales; Rhodanobacteraceae. The record is from RNAcentral.